This 645-nucleotide long non-coding RNA is filed under the name Androctonus crassicauda. The record is from RNAcentral. Lineage: Eukaryota; Metazoa; Arthropoda; Arachnida; Scorpiones; Buthidae.
AUUUUUCUUUGUUGUUGCUAUAAAAGAACAUUAAUGCGGAUAGAAUAUAAAGAUGCGAUGAAUAUCCGACGACCGUUUUAAAAUAUAUAUAUUUUUAUAACCUUACUCAUUAUUAUGUCCUUUUUUUUUAAUAAAAAAAAAAGAACUAGGAAAAAAAGUUUCUGUAACGUCGUUCCAUUAUAUGAUUUAAUAUAAAUAAACUAUUAAUGUCAGAAACUUUGUGACUUAUAUUACUGAAAGAAAUCAUAUUUAUUAUGAUGUCGUAUAUUCUUCUUAACGUAUAGAUCAUUUUACGAUCAAAACUUCCUGACUAUUCAACCACAUGCCCCAGGAUGAGACCGAUCACAAGGUCUUACUGCAUCAUAAUAUCUUAUCACCGAAAAUCCUUACAGCACCGUAAACCAAAGCUUCUUGGUGCCAUAAAUGUCUAACUUUCAAUGUACAGUAAACCUUAUCCAACACCAUUAUCGUCACGUAAAACUUCCAUCUGUACAUCUCUCACUAUAUAUAUAUAUAUGGCAAUAUCAACACGUUUCGAAACGACAUAUUAGUAUCUUGUCUAGUCCCGUAUACAGUAUUUAUCCAUUUAGCAAUCAACUACGUUGUUUGUUUCUCUUAAUAACCUUCUAAACACGGAAAAAAUAG